UUCGAUGGCGGUGUUUAGAUGGCGGAAAUCCGCCAUCUAAACUAUCCCGCCCAAAAUUUCGAAUCUCCCCCAAAUGAUAACCCGAUUACCCGAUUAAAUUGACUUAAGAUGGCGGAUUUCCGCCAUCUUAAGUUUUCGGGGACUCGGGCGGAAAAAAGCCCGCCCAAAUUUCGAUUGGGCGGACUUUCACUUAAGUGCUGGCGGCACUUAAGUGUACUUACAUGGCGGAAAUCCGCCAUGUAAGUUUUGGGGUUUAUUAAAA
This 262-nucleotide long non-coding RNA is filed under the name Zostera marina. RNAcentral's name for it is "long non-coding RNA (ZMAR_LNC004243)". Lineage: Eukaryota; Viridiplantae; Streptophyta; Magnoliopsida; Alismatales; Zosteraceae. The record is from RNAcentral.